UCUUUCGUCGGGGGAGAAAAUGACUGUACCCGAAUAAGAAGGUCCGGCUAACUUCGUGCCAGCAGCCGCGGUAAUACGAAGGACCUAGCGUGUUCGGAAUUACUGGGCUUAAAGAGUUCGUAGGUGGUUGAAAAAGUUGGUGGUGAAAUCCCAGAGCUUAACUCUGGAACUGCCAUCAAAACUUUUCAGCUAGAGUAUGAUAGAGGAAAGCAGAAUUUCUAGUGUAGAGGUGAAAUUCGUAGAUAUUAGAAAGAAUACCAAUUGCGAAGGCAGCUUUCUGGAUCAUUACUGACACUGAGGAACGAAAGCAUGGGUAGCGAAGAGGAUUAGAUACCCUCGUAGUCCAUGCCGUAAACGAUGUGUGUUAGACGUUGGAAAUUUAUUUUCAGUGUCGCAGCGAAAGCGAUAAACACACCGCCUGGGGAGUACGACCGCAAGGUUAAAACUCAAAUGAAUUGACGGGGACCCGCACAAGUAGUGGAGCAUGUGGUUUAAUUCGAAGAUACGCGCAGAACCUUUCCAACACUUGACAUGUUCGUCGCGACUCUAAGAGAUUAGAGUUUUCGGUUCGGCCGGACGAAACACAGGUGCUGCAUGGCUGUCGUCAGCUCGUGUCGUGAGAUGUUGGGUUAAGUCCCGCAACGAGCGCAACCCUCACUUUUAGUUGCCAUCAUUAAGUUGGGCACUCUGAAAGAACUGCCAGUGAUAAGCUGGAGGAAGGUGGGGAUGACGUCAAGUCCUCAUGGCCCUUACGUGUUGGGCUACACACGUGCUACAAUGGUAUCUACAACAGGAAGCAAAACGGCAACGUUAAGCAAAUCCCGAAAAGAUACCUCAGUUCGGAUUGCACUCUGCAACUCGAGUGCAUGAAGCUGGAAUUACUAGUAAUCGUGGAUCAGCGUGCCACGGUGAAUGCGUUCCCGGGUCUUGUACACACCGCCCGUCACACCAUGGGAGUUGGUUCUACCUUAAGGCAAGGUUUUAAACCCUUGACCACGGUAUAGUCAGCGACUGGGGUGAAGUCGUAACAAGGUAAC
RNAcentral lists this ribosomal RNA (1037 nucleotides) under uncultured proteobacterium EBAC28E03. RNAcentral describes it as "SSU rRNA". It matches the Rfam family "Bacterial small subunit ribosomal RNA", at positions 432 to 1500 of the family's 1533-position model. The record is from RNAcentral. Lineage: Bacteria; Pseudomonadati; Pseudomonadota.